AGAGAGAGAGAGAGAGAGAGAGAGAGAGAGAGAGAGACAGAGAGAGAGAGAGACAGAUAGAGAGAGACAGAGAGAGAGAGAGAGAGAGAGAGAUUGUUUUUGUAUCAUUCUAGCCAGUGGUUUCUCUGACUUUAUGAGAUUGUUUUGAUAGUUAUACAGAGGACAGAAUGAGGAUAUAUAUGAACCAUAAAAUGUGGAAUGUUAGAUGUUUUGAUAAAUCAGGAUUGUGUUUGAGUUCACAUCAAUUGAAAGGAGUUGAAAUGAAAAAUGAAACAUUUUAAAAUACAUUUGUAUUGUAAAUAUAAUUUAUUCUCCUCCCUGCCCAGUUUUGUGGGUGAGGUGUAGGUCUAUAGAUGUUAUUUCAGUCUAGAUUGGACUUUAAGUUAUCGUCGUUGAACUUGGCCCCCCUUUUGGGAAUCCCUGGACUUCACCAUGACCACUGCAGUACUUGUCUCCCAUCUGAAGAGGAUGAUGUUGUGAUGAUGUCAGAAGAGAAUCGAUCCUGUAGCCUGAUGUCACAACAGAAGGGAAUCGAUACUAUAGACUGAUGUCACAACAGAAGAGAAUCGAUCCUGUAGCUUGAUGUCACAACAGAAGAGAAUCCAUCCUGUAGCCUGAUGUCACAACAGAAGAGAAUCGAUCCUAUAGCCUGAUGUCACAACAGAAGGGAAUCGAUACUAUAGACUGAUGUCACAACAGAAGAGAAUCGAUCCUGUAGCUUGAUGUCACAACAGAAGAGAAUCCAUCCUGUAGCCUGAUGUCACAACAGAAGAGAAUCCAUCCUAUAGCCUGAUGUCACAACAGAAGAGAAUCGAUCCUAUAGCCUGAUGUCACAACAGAAGAGAAUCGAUCCUAUAGCCUGAUGUCACAACAGAAGAGAAUCGAUCCUAUAGCCUGAUGUCACAACAGAAGAGAAUCGAUCCUAUAGACUGAUGUCACAACAGAAGAAAAUCGAUCCUAUAGCCUGAUGUCACAACAGAAGGGAAUCGAUCCUAUAGCCUGAUGUCACAACAGAAGGGAAUCGAUCCUAUAGCCUGAUGUCACAACAGAAGGGAAUCGAUCCUAUAGCCUGAUGUCACAACAGAAGGGAAUCGAUCCUAUAGCCUGAUGUCACAACAGAAGGGAAUCGAUCCUAUAGCCUGAUGUCACAACAGAAGGGAAUCGAUACUAUAGAAUGAUGUCACAACAGAAGAGAAUCGAUCCUAUAGCCUGAUGUCACAACAGAAGAGAAUCGAUCCUAUAGCCUGAUGUCACAACAGAAGAGAAUCGAUCCUGUAGCCUGAUGUCACAACAGAAGAGAAUCCAUCCUAUAGCCUGAUGUCACAACAGAAGGGAAUCGAUCCUAUAGCCUGAUGUCACAACAGAAGAGAAUCGAUCCAUUAGCAACUAAUCCUUAUCCUGCGAUAGAAAAAAAUAUCGGUUUGAGGACAUAUAUCUGGUGUUUCAGAAGCAAUUAUUGGCAGCAUGACUGUCUUCGAAAAUUGGUUUUUAAUUACACAAAGAUUGACCACGAAGAUCAAAAAAUGUCAAAUUCACUAUAAUGGAGAAUCCUGUUUUUGCAAACAAUGCCUGCAGUACCGCAGCCUGCCUCGAACUUCUGUGGCUUUAAUGAGAGUGGGAAGUCGUUCUCAUCCAAUGGCUGCCAUGUUUUUGGAUGACGUGAGUGAUGUCAUCACUUUACCAUGGUUACCAUUACAACAUGCCUUACAGUACUCUGUCUGAUAACUACUCAAGAGAAUGUCUUUAACAUAACAGGACAGUAUGAAGGAAGAAACUAUUUCGCCAAUAGAAAUCCCCGAUAAUGUUUGUAGGCGAUGUCAUGGCAACGUUGGCUCGCUAAGCUCAUGUGUAGAAACACGUCAUCAGGUCUAACGGUUGUCCUGAACUGCCCAUGUGCAGAACACGUCAUCAGGUCUAACGGUUGUCCUGAACUGCCCAUGUGCAGAACACGUCAUCAGGUCUAAUGGUUGUCCUGAACUGCCCAUGUGCAGAACACGUCAUCAGGUCUAACGGUUGUCCUGAACUGCCCAUGUGCAGAACACGUCAUCAGGACUAACGGUUGUCCUGAACUGCCCAUGUGCAGAACACGUCAUCAGGUCUAACGGUUGUCCUGAACUGCCCAUGUGCAGAACACGUCAUCAGGUCUAAUGGUUGUCCUGAACUGCCCAUGUGCAGAACACGUCAUCAGGUCUAACGGUUGUCCUGAACUGCCCAUGUGCAGAACACGUCAUCAGGUCUAAUGGUUGUCCUGAACUGCCCAUGUGCAGAACACGUCAUCAGGUCUAACGGUUGUCCUGAACUGCCCAUGUGCAGAACACGUCAUCAGGUCUAAUGGUUGUCCUGAACUGCCCAUGUGCAGAACACGUCAUCAGGUCUAACGGUUGUCCUGAACUGCCCAUGUGCAGAACACGUCAUCAGGUCUAAUGGUUGUCCUGAACUGCCCAUGUGCAGAACACGUCAUCAGGUCUAAUGGUUGUCCUGAACUGCCCAUGUGCAGAACACGUCAUCAGGUCUAACGGUUGUCCUGAACUGCCCAUGUGCAGAACACGUCAUCAGGUCUAACGGUUGUCCUGAACUGCCCAUGUGCAGAACACGUCAUCAGGUCUAACGGUUGUCCUGAACUGCCCAUGUGCAGAACACGUCAUCAGGUCUAACGGUUGUCCUGAACUGCCCAUGUGCAGAACACGUCAUCAGGUCUAACGGUUGUCCUGAACUGCCCAUGUGCAGAACACGUCAUCAGGUCUAACGGUUGUCCUGAACUGCCCAUGUGCAGAACACGUCAUCAGGUCUAAUGGUUGUCCUGAACUGCCCAUGUGCAGAACACGUCAUCAGGUCUAACGGUUGUCCUGAACUGCCCAUGUGCAGAACACGUCAUCAGGUCUAAUGGUUGUCCUGAACUGCCCAUGUGCAGAACACGUCAUCAGGUCUAACGGUUGUCCUGAACUGCCCAUGUGCAGAACACGUCAUCAGGUCUAACGGUUGUCCUGAACUGCCCAUGUGCAGAACACGUCAUCAGGUCUAACGGUUGUCCUGAACUGCCCAUGUGCAGAACACGUCAUCAGGUCUAAUGGUUGUCCUGAACUGCCCAUGUGCAGAACACGUCAUCAGGUCUAACGGUUGUCCUGAACUGCCCAUGUGCAGAACACGUCAUCAGGUCUAACGGUUGUCCUGAACUGCCCAUGUGCAGAACACGUCAUCAGGUCUAAUGGUUGUCCUGAACUGCCCAUGUGCAGAACACGUCAUCAGGUCUAACGGUUGUCCUGAACUGCCCAUGUGCAGAACACGUCAUCAGGUCUAACGGUUGUCCUGAACUGCCCAUGUGCAGAACACGUCAUCAGGUCUAACGGUUGUCCUGAACUGCCCAUGUGCAGAACACGUCAUCAGGUCUAACGGUUGUCCUGAACUGCCCAUGUGCAGAACACGUCAUCAGGUCUAAUGGUUGUCCUGAACUGCCCAUGUGCAGAACACGUCAUCAGGUCUAACGGUUGUCCUGAACUGCCCAUGUGCAGAACACGUCAUCAGGUCUAACGGUUGUCCUGAACUGCCCAUGUGCAGAACACGUCAUCAGGUCUAACGGUUGUCCUGAACUGCCCAUGUGCAGAACACGUCAUCAGGACUAACGGUUGUCCUGAACUGCCCAUGUGCAGAACACGUCAUCAGGUCUAAUGGUUGUCCUGAACUGCCCAUGUGCAGAACACGUCAUCAGGUCUAACGGUUGUCCUGAACUGCCCAGGUGCAGAACACGUCAUCAGGUCUAAUGGUUGUCCUGAACUGCCCAUGUGCAGAACACGUCAUCAGGUCUAACGGUUGUCCUGAACUGCCCAUGUGCAGAACACGUCAUCAGGUCUAACGGUUGUCCUGAACUGCCCAUGUGCAGAACACGUCAUCAGGUCUAACGGUUGUCCUGAACUGCCCAUGUGCAGAACACGUCAUCAGGUCUAACGGUUGUCCUGAACUGCCCAUGUGCAGAACACGUCAUCAGGUCUAACGGUUGUCCUGAACUGCCCAUGUGCAGAACACGUCAUCAGGUCUAACGGUUGUCCUGAACUGCCCAUGUGCAGAACACGUCAUCAGGUCUAACGGUUGUCCUGAACUGCCCAUGUGCAGAACACGUCAUCAGGUCUAACGGUUGUCAUGUGCAGGCUGUCAAAUCAAAAGCAAUCCUUCCCUGUAAAGUAGUUUUUUGUGACCAAUUGUUUAUUUGUUUUGACAUUGUUUUGUUAGGGGGUUUACAGGUACAUUGUCCAUUUCAUAUACGUUAAUACAACCUGUACUCAAGAGAAGACAACUAUGUAAGAAAUACAUAGAGAGUUUAAAUAUAAAUAAUAAAAUCAGUAUAAACAGGAAAAAAAAACAAAAAAGAACAUUGUCCACCACCCCCAACCCCCUCCAGCCAACCCCCUCCCCCCAACCCCCUCCAGCCAACCCCCUCCAGCCAAAAUGUCUCCACUCCCAACCUCCCAUUCCCCCCCAAACCCCUCCAGCCAACGCCCAACCCCCUCCAGCCAACCCCCUCCAGCCAACGCCCAACCCCCUCCAGACAAAAUGUCUCCACUCCCAACCUCCCAUUCCCCCCAACCCCCUCUAGCCAACCCCCUCCAGCCAACCCCCAACCCCCUCCAGCCAACGCCCUCCAGCCAACCUGUCUCCACUCCCAACCUCCCAACCCCCUCCAGCCAACAUGUCUCUACUCCCAACCCCCCCAACAACCCUCCAGCCAACAUGUCUCUACUCCCAAUCCCCCCAACUCCCUCCAGCCAACAUGUCUCUACUCCCAACCCCCCCAACCCCCUCCAGCCAACAUGUCUCUACUCCCAAUCCCCCCAACCCCCUCCAGCCAACAUGUCUCCACAGCUAAGGAAGAAUUCUUCACUUCUCUCAUUGACUUCUCAAACUCCAAACCACAGCCUGGUCCACUUGGUCUGCUUCACAAGCGUUCCAGGAAGUCUCUGAUGUUGCACAUCUGGGUUCAGAAACUCUGUGAUUUAUAUGUUACUGCUUUUUUGCCAAAGUAUAUUUACGGUACUUUGUUACGAUUGAGGCUUUCAGUCCAUAUUUAUAUUUCUUUAUUUGUGUGUUUAAAAAAAUAAAAAAUCUGUUUUGUAUUUAUUACAAUUUUUUUUUUUUACUCCAAAGUAUUGUGUAUUAACUUGCCCGCGGUGUCGGGUAAUACUGAACGUUCAGACAUCGUGGGCGGCAGGUAGCCUCGUGGUUCGAUCGUUGGGCCACUUGUUGAAUAUAUUCAGUCGUUCUCCAAAUCCUGAAGCUACAGAGCUAGGUCUCUGUGUAGGGAGUAG
Non-coding RNA from Oncorhynchus mykiss (rainbow trout), 5297 nucleotides. The record is from RefSeq and is a predicted model, not a curated record. NCBI's taxonomy places the organism in Eukaryota, Metazoa, Chordata, Actinopteri, Salmoniformes, Salmonidae.